UAAUACAAAACUACAUAUCCAAAUUUGCCAGUUACCUUAAUCUCACUGCUAAUGAUUGAGAUUACAACCUAGGAGGGAUGAACUGGCGACAUCUUGUUGGGUAGCUUAAAUCAAGUCAUUCGAAACCCCCAACAAAAUUUUUCUAAAUUAAAACAUCCUUUGAAGUGAGUUUGCUGAUACCUUUGUAAAUGAUUUCGUCAAGACUGUGAAGAGACUUGUGGAAGCUAUAAAUCAAAAUGAGCUCAAGGCUAUGUUUCUUCACUGAUUCUCUUAUUCUUCCUCAGUUUUCUUUCCCAAAUUUCUGCUAAUCCAGAACGACAAUG
Molecule: unclassified non-coding RNA, 323 nt
Filed under: Hevea brasiliensis (rubber tree)
Lineage: Eukaryota; Viridiplantae; Streptophyta; Magnoliopsida; Malpighiales; Euphorbiaceae
Source: RNAcentral